CUUAAAUUUUGGUUUAUAUCAUUAUUUAAAAUAAUAUUAUAUGAGUAAAAGAAUUGAACUUUAUCCACAAAAAAGUACUGAGAAGGAAAGUCUUGUCAAUUUUAAAGAAUUUAUUUAUUAUACCUUUUGUAUCAGGGUUUAUUCAAUUUUGACCACUAUUGUCAAGUCCCGAAAUAAGGUGAUUUAUGCUAAUUAAAGAUGAUUGUUUCAUAACUCUCUUUAAGAUUAACAUCGGUGUAAAAAAUAUUUCGUACCUAUAUAUCUGGUUGGCAGAAGACUCCUUUAGGGUACUCCGGAAGGAAGAUUUUCUAGGGGACGAGCUCUAGAAAAAAUUAUAUCAAAUUACUACCAGCGAUAUGAAUAGGCUUAAAAGUUGCCAGGGUGUAAUAACCAGGGUCGUUUAAAUAAUAAUUUAAAGUUGAUUAAUUGAAUCUAGCCGAUGCUUAUUAUUAACAUUGAGCAGUCAUAAUGAUAAAAUUAGUAUAUGUAUAAAAAUGCAAUAGAAUCUAUUCCAAAAAUUUUGGAAGGAAUUCGGCAAAACUUGCCUCCGCCU
RNAcentral lists this ribosomal RNA (553 nucleotides) under Artemia parthenogenetic lineage. Its description in RNAcentral is "Artemia parthenogenetica partial 16S ribosomal RNA". Lineage: Eukaryota; Metazoa; Arthropoda; Branchiopoda; Anostraca; Artemiidae. The record is from RNAcentral.